Molecule: ribosomal RNA, 253 nt
Filed under: uncultured prokaryote
Description: partial 16S ribosomal RNA
Rfam family: Bacterial small subunit ribosomal RNA
Source: RNAcentral
UACGUAGGCAGCAAGCGUUGUUCGGAGUUACUGGGCGUAAAGGGUGUGUAGGCGGUUCCUUAAGUUUGCUGUGAAAUCUCCCGGCUUAACCGGGAGGGUGCGGUGAAUACUGAGGGACUAGAGUACGGGAGAGGAAAGUGGAAUUCCUGGUGUAGCGGUGAAAUGCGUAGAUAUCUGCAGGAACACCCGUGGCGAAAGCGGCGCGCUGGAUCACAACUGACGCUGAGGAACGAAAGCUAGGGGAGCAAACAGG